RNAcentral lists this ribosomal RNA (253 nucleotides) under uncultured bacterium. Its description in RNAcentral is "partial 16S ribosomal RNA". It matches the Rfam family "Bacterial small subunit ribosomal RNA", at positions 524 to 776 of the family's 1533-position model. The record is from RNAcentral.
UACGGGGGGGGCAAGCGUUAUUCGGAAUUAUUGGGCGUAAAGGGCGCGUAGGCGGUUGAAUAAGUCAGAUGUGAAAGCCCUUGGCUUAACCAAGGAAGUGAAUUUGAUACUAUUUGACUUGAGUAUGGGAGAGGGAAGUGGAAUUCCUGGUGUAGAGGUGAAAUUCGUAGAUAUCAGGAGGAACACCGGUGGCGAAAGCGACUUCCUGGACCAAUACUGACGCUGAGGCGCGAAGGCGUGGGGAGCAAACCGG